Molecule: non-coding RNA, 1356 nt
Filed under: Pseudofabraea citricarpa
Lineage: Eukaryota; Fungi; Ascomycota; Leotiomycetes; Helotiales; Dermateaceae
Description: partial 28S ribosomal RNA
Rfam family: Eukaryotic large subunit ribosomal RNA
Source: RNAcentral
ACCCGCUGAACUUAAGCAUAUCAAUAAGCGGAGGAAAAGAAACCAACAGGGAUUACCUCAGUAACGGCGAGUGAAGCGGUAACAGCUCAAAUUUGAAAUCUGGGUCUUUCAGGCUCCGAGUUGUAAUUUGUAGAAGAUGCUUCGGGUGCGGCUCCGGUCUAAGUUCCUUGGAACAGGACGUCAUAGAGGGUGAGAAUCCCGUAUGUGAUCGGUGGCUUGCGCCCAUGUGAAGCUCUUUCGACGAGUCGAGUUGUUUGGGAAUGCAGCUCCAAAUGGGUGGUAUAUUUCAUCUAAAGCUAAAUAUUGGCCAGAGACCGAUAGCGCACAAGUAGAGUGAUCGAAAGAUGAAAAGCACUUUGGAAAGAGAGUUAAACAGUACGUGAAAUUGUUGAAAGGGAAGCGCUGCAACCAGACUUGCGUGUGUCGAUCAUCCGGGGUUCUCCCCGGUGCACUCGACCUCACUCAGGCCAGCAUCGGUUUCGGUGGUUGGAUAAAGGCCUUGGGAAUGUGGCUCCUCUCGGGGAGUGUUAUAGCCCUCGGUGCAAUGCAGCCUACCGGGACCGAGGACCGCGCUUCGGCUAGGAUGCUGGCGUAAUGGUUGUAAGCGACCCGUCUUGAAACACGGACCAAGGAGUCUAACAUCUAUGCGAGUGUUUGGGUGUCAAACCCAUACGCGUAAUGAAAGUGAACGGAGGUGAGAACCCUUAAGGGUGCAUCAUCGACCGAUCCUGAUGUCUUCGGAUGGAUUUGAGUAAGAGCAUAGCUGUUGGGACCCGAAAGAUGGUGAACUAUGCCCGAAUAGGGUGAAGCCAGAGGAAACUCUGGUGGAGGCUCGCAGCGGUUCUGACGUGCAAAUCGAUCGUCAAAUUUGGGUAUAGGGGCGAAAGACUAAUCGAACCAUUGGUAACCUUGCUAGGUGGUUGGGAGGGCGCUCAAAGUGCAGCCCUAGUCCUGUAGCCAGGGCAACUCUGUCAAAUUGUUCGGGGACCACCCGCUUUAAAUUCUAAGCUACCGCAGCCUGGGCGAAAGCCCUGGUGCGCACCAGGUUAACGGCCUCGGGUAUGGUAACAACGCUUAGAUAGGGUCAAUCCGCAGCGAAAGGCCUACGGGUGCCGCACGAGGCACCUAUGGUCUACACGUUCACAGACUAGACGGCAGUGGGUUCAGGCGCGAGAGCGCCUGGGCUUAAGAUAUAGUCGGGCCCCCCAGAGAUGGGGCGGGCAGAAGAAGGCUGUGGGAGGCUACCCCUCCAGGGUCCCACAGCCCCGAGCUGCCCGGUGGGAGGCGGCGCCAGCAGGCGCCCCUCCCUGGAAAUCAGUGCUAGUAGCUGGUUCCUGCCGAAGUUUCCCUCAGGAU